Molecule: ribosomal RNA, 548 nt
Filed under: uncultured bacterium
Lineage: Bacteria
Description: partial 16S ribosomal RNA
Rfam family: Bacterial small subunit ribosomal RNA
Source: RNAcentral
UGAGGAAUAUUGGUCAAUGGGCGAGAGCCUGAACCAGCCAAAUCGCGUGAAGGAAGACUGCCUUAUGGGUUGUAAACCUCUUUUAUACAGGAAUAAAAAAGGGGACGUGUCCCUUAUUGCAUGUACUGUAUGAAUAAGCAUCGGCUAACUCCGUGCCAGCAGCCGCGGUAAUACGGAGGAUGCGAGCGUUAUCCGGAUUUAUUGGGUUUAAAGGGUGCGCAGGCGGGCUUUUAAGUUCAGCGGUGAAAUCUCGGGGCUUAACUCCGAAACUGCCGUUGAAACUGGGAGUCUUGAGUAUGGAUGAAGUAGGCGGAAUUCGUUGUGUAGCGGUGACAUGCUUAGAUAUAACGAGGAACUCCGAUUGCGUAGGCAGCUUACUAAGCCAUAACUGACGCUCAAGCACGAAAGCGUGGGGAUCAAAACAGGAUUAGAUACCCUGGUAGUCCACGCCGUAAACGAUGAUUGACCUAGUUGUAUGCGAUAUACCGUAUGUGACUAAGCGAAAGCGAUAAGUAAUCCACCUGGGGAGUACGCCGGCAACGGUGAAA